CCUACGGGAGGCAGCAGUGGGGAAUAUUGGACAAUGGGCGAAAGCCUGACCCAGCAACGCCGCGUGAAGGAAGAAGGCUUUCGGGUUGUAAACUUCUUUUGUCAGGGAAGAGUAGCAGACGGUGCCUGACGUCUCGUCCACAGCUAACUACGUUCCAGCAGCCGCGGUAAUACGUAGGUGGCAGGCGUUGUCCGGAUUUACUGGGUGUCAUGGGCGUGUAGCCGGGUUGACAAGUCAGAUGUGAAAUCCUGCGGCUUAACCGCAGAACUGCAUUUGAAACUGUUGAUCUUGAGUACUGGAGAGGCAGACGGAAUUCCUAGUGUAGCGGUGAAAUGCGUAGAUAUUAGGAGGAACACCAGUGGCGAAGGCGGCUUGCUGGACAGCAACUGACGGUGAGGCGCGAAAGCGUGGGGAGCAAACAGGAUUAGAUACCCGGGUAGUC
Molecule: ribosomal RNA, 442 nt
Filed under: uncultured bacterium
Lineage: Bacteria
Description: partial 16S ribosomal RNA
Rfam family: Bacterial small subunit ribosomal RNA
Source: RNAcentral